GAAGAACCUUACCUACCCUUGACAUGUACGGAACCUCGCAGAGAUGUGAGGGUGCCCGAAAGGGAGCCGUAACACAGGUGCUGCAUGGCUGUCGUCAGCUCGUGCCGUGAGAUGUUGGGUUAAGCCCCGUAACGAGCGCAACCCUUGUCCUUAGUUGCCAGCACGUAAAGGUGGGAACCCUAAGGAGACCGCCGGGGUCAACUCGGAGGAAGGUGGGGAUGAGGUCAAAUCAUCAUGCCCCUUAUGCCUUGGGCUUCACGCAUGCUACAGUGGCCGGUACAAAGGGCUGCAAUACCGCAAGGUGGAGCGAAUCCCAAAAAGCCGGUCUCAGUUCGGAUUGAGGUCUGCAGCUCGACCCCAUGAAGUCGGAGUCGCUAGUAAUCGUGAGUCAGCAACGUCACGGUGAAUACGUUCCCGGGUCUUGUACACACGC
RNAcentral lists this ribosomal RNA (433 nucleotides) under uncultured soil bacterium. RNAcentral's name for it is "bacterial SSU rRNA". It matches the Rfam family "Bacterial small subunit ribosomal RNA", at positions 963 to 1393 of the family's 1533-position model. The record is from RNAcentral.